RNAcentral lists this unclassified non-coding RNA (2366 nucleotides) under Penaeus chinensis. RNAcentral describes it as "uncharacterized LOC125047737, transcript variant X3". The record is from RNAcentral. Lineage: Eukaryota; Metazoa; Arthropoda; Malacostraca; Decapoda; Penaeidae.
ACGUUUUUCUUCUCGCAGCUCUUUGGCCCGAGUCAAAGAACUUCAGGUUUUGUCUCUCAAGUCCUCCUUUUCAAAGAUUACAAACCUCCGUGUAUUGAGUGAGAGAUCUGUGCUUUCUGAGUGCCGUGAGAUCAUGAGUUUUGUUUUCGAAAAAUGGUGUUCGUCAGUCGAUCAUAAUGAAGAGUAAUGAGUGGAGUCAAACUGAUGAGUCCAUGGUAAAAUGCUCUUCUGGAAAGACUCCAAUAGUGGCUCGGUCGUAAAGGCUCCGUGAAGCGUCGCCUGCGCCAGCGCCGGCCGGGAAGACAGCCGCACACAUUUCGUUCAUUUAACAAUUAUGUAAAUAGCAACUUCAAGGGAGCUAGACCUUCUGCUGAAGCCUUGGACGUGGUGUUCACUCAGAGCCGCGUCUCGGUGCAUGAUCCCUGCUGUAGUGAAGGCAUACUCUAAGCUGUCUACAUGAUAUAGACUCGAUUGAUUUAGCACUGGAUACUAAAUCAAUUCAGCUACCUUUGCUGCCGAAAGUAUGUGUGCGUAAGAUAGAGUUAAGCAAAAACAACAUUUAGAGAAAGUUCAAAGAUUUUUGCUUUCUUUACGAUAUCAUAUCGGUAUUGGGUGUAAGCACAUGACCUUUCGACAUGACUGACGUGUCCCCGCACCUCAACAUUUUACUUCUGGUGUCCCCGCAGAAGACCCUGGGUCCCCCGACGCCCUCCCGUAUGCGCGCCAAAGCCCCCGAACAGCUUCAGCCCACAGAGUCUUCCGAGCGAGCAACCUCGACAGAGACAGAUGUCGACAGGGGCACGGGAAAGGAUUCUCAGGGCAACAACCUUGGGUGGGCCCCUCCCGAGGGCCACAGACCCAUGACUUAUGGGUACGCAAUGCCAACGACGGCACGACCGCGGCAGCGGGGAAAGGACUUUGGGACAGCGUCCCCCCCACAGGCAACACUGGGUAUAGACAGCCUUAGGGUCGUGCCGAGGGAGAGGCAGGUAGUUGGGCCCGAGAGCCUAGGCUUCUCGCCGGCCUUUCAGUUCACGUCUGAGCGAUCGGUGGCGUUCGGCGGCAAGGGACUACGGUCACAGCCACACAGUAUCGGCCCUGCGGAUGCAGCACGUGGUCCCCAUGGGGGCAUGGCGUCGUCUGUAGCAGAUUCUUCGAUUCCCCUGGGUUCAGUUGGCCUGCCCUGGGAAACGGCGCCAUCGCAUCGCUUCCUCCACACACCUGCAGCGGCCGCGCGACCAGGAUCCCCCACUAAGACCCCGCUGGGAAGCGGCAGCGGGCGCCCGGCGACGACGACGGGAGUGGGUGCACGAGGAACCAGCGGGAAGCAGGCGCACAAAAGCCCUCCCGAGGGGCUAAUGAGGAGGCUCUGGGAGGUGGCCCUGCUAACCCUCUUGCUCGUCACCCCGGCAGCAGGGCACUUCGACCGCGGGGGACCCCAGCAUCGCAUCACGUGGGGCCGGGGCAACACAGCCAACUCAGCGGUCUUCGGGGACACGCCCACCAACGUCACAGCCGUGCUGGGUCAUCGCGCCCGCCUCCCCUGCCAGGUCAAGAAUCUCGGCCUCAAGGACGUUUCGUGGAUCAGACAGAGGGACCUCCACAUACUCACCGUCGGGAUCUUCACCUACACCAGCGACGAUAGGUUCAAGGUCUUCCACCCGCCGGAGACCGAGGACUGGUACCUGGAUAUCAGCAGCGUGACCUUCAGAGACGCCGGCGUGUACGAGUGCCAGGUGUCCACGAGCCCGAAGGUGUCUCUACCUGUCUACCUCACGGUGCUAGGUGUACAGGAGGCGGACAUCCCGGGGCCCAGCGAGGUGUUCAUCCAGCACGGCUCCACAAUCAGCCUCCUCUGCGAGGUUCGGGCGGGCGUGGAGGCGGUGGGGCCCGUGCAGUGGCUCAGGGGCUCGACUCCCCUCAACUACAGCUCCCCGAGAGGCGGUAUUAGCAUGGAGGUGGAGAAGACGCCGACGCAGACCACUUCGAAGCUGUACAUCACUCGGGCGGUGAGGGGCGACUCGGGGAACUACACGUGCGCACCGCAGUUCGCCCGCCCCGACUCCGUCAUCGUGCACGUGGUCAACGCUGGCGAAGAGUCUGCUGCAGCCGUGCACAGCGGCGCCGCGAGGGGGCCAGAGGGGCGCCUGGCGUGGAGGGCAGCUGCAGCAGCCGUCGCCGUCGUGCUCGCCACCUGCGCCCUGCCCGGCCUGCGGUGAGGAGCCACGGUCAAAAGUUGCGUCGUGUACAGUUUGGAAUGUCUUUCGUCCCUCCUUGCCCUCAGUUAACAGGUGCGGUUGUUUAACACUGUCCUCCCUCUCCCAGCGUGUGUUGAUAAGGGUGACGUGUGCAGAGUCCUAGCUGGC